GUAAUGAACUUUAUAGGAUAAAUAUAAACCUAUACCAAUGCUACAAGAUUUAUCAAAUUAUAUAACCAUCAAAUCACAAAUGAGUAGUCUAUCAACAUCAUAUAUAUUUUUCAUUCCUAUCAUAAUAGAAUUUUAUAAGACAUAUUACAACAUCAUUAACCUUUUCAUAAGACUAUGAACUGCUUCCUUUACUUACUUGCC
This 201-nucleotide long non-coding RNA is filed under the name Gossypium barbadense (sea-island cotton). RNAcentral describes it as "long non-coding RNA (GBAR_LNC018420)". Lineage: Eukaryota; Viridiplantae; Streptophyta; Magnoliopsida; Malvales; Malvaceae. The record is from RNAcentral.